Molecule: long non-coding RNA, 523 nt
Filed under: Patiria miniata (bat star)
Lineage: Eukaryota; Metazoa; Echinodermata; Asteroidea; Valvatida; Asterinidae
Description: uncharacterized LOC119734993
Source: RNAcentral
AUUUAGAAUUCCAUUUUUAGAGUAUUACUUCAUAUUUAGUGAAAGAGCCUACAGUUAACUUUCACCUCAUAAAAGUGAAAGAGCCUACUUAUGUGUUGCAUUAAGUAGCCUCCUUCCCACCACCAGAGUGACCUUGUGCACUUCCUAUGUGCAUACAGAGACCCUGUGUGGGUACAAGUACCACAUAAUCUUGCCACAUAAACAAUGGGCAGCCAUAUUUACUGACCAUGUGAUUUCAGAGACAAGUGUUUUCAUACUCAUUGCGAUUUAGUUCUUCAAGUUUCAUCACUUUAUUCACUCUUUGUGGACCUUGAAAGACCCCAUUUUGAUUGUUAUCUCAAUCUCAAUCUACUCAAUCUACAAUCAGCAAUCACCACCAUGUUGUCAAGUGGCUUCAUUGUGUUUUGUGUGUGGUUCCUGGAUUGAUUGCGAAUACCAGUCACUUGGGAGUCCUUUUCUCAUAAGUUUGAGAACUAGUAGUCCGAAACUCCUCUGGGCACAAGUGAGCCCCGAGGCAGCCACA